UUUGCUUUUCUCUUUCUCCUUGUCUUUCUUCUUCUUCUUUUCUUCUCAUCUUUACUUUGCAUCUUCCCCUUUUAGCCACUCAAGUUGAAAGGUACAUUUGAAUCAAUUGUCAGCAAAGGAAAAAAGGUGAAGAAGGAAGAACUACAUUUCAAAGCGAAGGUGAAGGAUAUGGAGCCAAACUAUGAGAAGGAAAAGAAGAUUACCAAAUCAGUGGAGAAGGAAAAGCCGAAGCAUAAGGAGGAUAAGGGACAGAAACAUAAAGAGAAGGAUAAGGAAAAAAUCGAGGAUAGUGAAAUAGGAGAAAUGAAGAAUAACGAGGAGAAAAAAAAAAGAACAAUGAGAAGAUGCACAAAGAUGAAGAAG
Long non-coding RNA from Gossypium raimondii (Peruvian cotton), 363 nucleotides. RefSeq lists it as uncharacterized. The transcript has 2 exons. Lineage: Eukaryota; Viridiplantae; Streptophyta; Magnoliopsida; Malvales; Malvaceae. The record is from RefSeq and is a predicted model, not a curated record.